Molecule: ribosomal RNA, 429 nt
Filed under: bacterium
Lineage: Bacteria
Description: partial 16S ribosomal RNA
Rfam family: Bacterial small subunit ribosomal RNA
Source: RNAcentral
UAGGGAAUCUUCCGCAAUGGGCGAAAGCCUGACGGAGCAACGCCGCGUGAGUGAUGAAGGUCUUCGGAUCGUAAAACUCUGUUAUUAGGGAAGAACAAAUGUGUAAGUAACUGUGCACGUCUUGACGGUACCUAAACAGAAAGCCACGGCUAACUACGUGCCAGCAGCCGCGGUAAUACGUAGGUGGCAAGCGUUAUCCGGAAUUAUUGGGCGUAAAGCGCGCGUAGGCGGUUUCUUAAGUCUGAUGUGAAAGCCCACGGCUCAACCGUGGAGGGUCAUUGGAAACUGGGAAACUUGAGUGCAGAAGAGGAAAGUGGAAUUCCAUGUGUAGCGGUGAAAUGCGCAGAGAUAUGGAGGAACACCAGUGGCGAAGGCGACUUUCUGGUCUGUAACUGACGCUGAUGUGCGAAAGCGUGGGGAUCAAACAGG